UGGGGAAUAUUGCACAAUGGGCGCAAGCCUGAUGCAGCAACGCCGCGUGAACGAUGAAGGUCUUCGGAUCGUAAAGUUCUGUUGCAGGGGAAGAUAAUGACGGUACCCUGUGAGGAAGCCCCGGCUAACUACGUGCCAGCAGCCGCGGUAAUACGUAGGGGGCUAGCGUUAUACGGAUUUACUGGGCGUAAAGGGUGCGUAGGUGGUCUUUCAAGUCGGUGGUUAAAGGCUACGGCUCAACCGUAGUUAGCCUCCGAAACUGGAAGACUUGAGUGCAGAAGAGGAAAGUGGAAUUCCCAGUGUAGCGGUGAAAUGCGUAGAUAUUGGGAGGAACACCAGUAGCGAAGGCGGCUUUCUGGACUGCAACUGACACUGAGGCACGAAAGCGUGGGUAGCAAACAGG
This 403-nucleotide ribosomal RNA is filed under the name Verrucomicrobiota bacterium. RNAcentral's name for it is "Verrucomicrobia bacterium partial 16S ribosomal RNA". It matches the Rfam family "Bacterial small subunit ribosomal RNA", at positions 355 to 776 of the family's 1533-position model. Lineage: Bacteria; Pseudomonadati; Verrucomicrobiota. The record is from RNAcentral.